AGUGAACGCUGGCGGUAGGCCUAACACAUGCAAGUCGAACGGCAGCACAGUAAGAGCUUGCUCUUACGGGUGGCGAGUGGCGGACGGGUGAGGAAUACAUCGGAAUCUACUUUUUCGUGGGGGAUAACGUAGGGAAACUUACGCUAAUACCGCAUACGACCUACGGGUGAAAGCAGGGGAUCUUCGGACCUUGCGCGAUUGAAUGAGCCGAUGUCGGAUUAGCUAGUUGGCGGGGUAAAGGCCCACCAAGGCGACGAUCCGUAGCUGGUCUGAGAGGAUGAUCAGCCACACUGGAACUGAGACACGGUCCAGACUCCUACGGGAGGCAGCAGUGGGGAAUAUUGGACAAUGGGGGCAAGCCUGAUCCAGCCAAACCGCGGUGGUGAAGAAGGCCUUCGGGUUGGAAAACCCUUUUGUUGGGAAAAAAAAGCAGCAGGUUAAUACCCCGCUGUUCUGACGGUACCCAAAGAAUAAGCACCGGCUAACUUCGUG
Molecule: ribosomal RNA, 492 nt
Filed under: uncultured bacterium
Lineage: Bacteria
Description: partial 16S ribosomal RNA
Rfam family: Bacterial small subunit ribosomal RNA
Source: RNAcentral